RNAcentral lists this ribosomal RNA (484 nucleotides) under Pseudomonas putida LF54. Its description in RNAcentral is "bacterial LSU rRNA". It matches the Rfam family "Bacterial large subunit ribosomal RNA", at positions 709 to 1190 of the family's 2925-position model. Lineage: Bacteria; Pseudomonadati; Pseudomonadota; Gammaproteobacteria; Pseudomonadales; Pseudomonadaceae. The record is from RNAcentral.
AUAGACCCGAAACCGGGCGAUCUAUCCAUGGGCAGGUUGAAGGUUAGGUAACACUGACUGGAGGACCGAACCGACUACCGUUGAAAAGUUAGCGGAUGACCUGUGGAUCGGAGUGAAAGGCUAAUCAAGCUCGGAGAUAGCUGGUUCUCCUCGAAAGCUAUUUAGGUAGCGCCUCAUGUAUCACUGUAGGGGGUAGAGCACUGUUUCGGCUAGGGGGUCAUCCCGACUUACCAAACCGAUGCAAACUCCGAAUACCUACAAGUGCCGAGCAUGGGAGACACACGGCGGGUGCUAACGUCCGUCGUGAAAAGGGAAACAACCCAGACCGUCAGCUAAGGUCCCAAAGUCAUGGUUAAGUGGGAAACGAUGUGGGAAGGCUUAGACAGCUAGGAGGUUGGCUUAGAAGCAGCCACCCUUUAAAGAAAGCGUAAUAGCUCACUAGUCGAGUCGGCCUGCGCGGAAGAUGUAACGGGGCUCAAACCAU